Molecule: non-coding RNA, 1175 nt
Organism: Delphinapterus leucas (beluga whale)
Lineage: Eukaryota; Metazoa; Chordata; Mammalia; Artiodactyla; Monodontidae
Source: RefSeq, a predicted model, not a curated record
GAUGCCCACGUUUGCUCCCGCAGAGAAGUCGCGAGGCCGGUCCUUGGGAGAUGCGGGGCCCACCAGGUCCAGAAAGUGGCAGAGCUGGUGGCUUGGCCAGCAGGAAGCCAUGCUCGUGACGUGUACCCAGGAACAUGGCCACAGCGCUGUGGGAGCACGCAGGAGCGGACUGUACUCUUUGGAAGGAAGUUACUAUGCACAGACGAGACUUAAGGAGUGGAGAUUUAUGCUCACUUGAGGUAUAAGCUCGCUGAAGGCAGUGACAGGUGACUUGCAGACCUCCUCCUGCCACAGGGCUGGCACAUUGUUGGCUUCUGCUAAAAUAUGCUGAAAGAAAGAAGGUCCUUGGCUCACUCAGAACACCUCUUUACAACCCUUUGUAAGAGGUAAAUUUCUUCUUCUUCCUGUUUGAUUCCCUUCCAGAUGUUUCCAAAUCUACCUAAAAUAGUCCCAGUUCUCAAAAAGCCUUCUCCCCUCCCUGUUACUGUCAUUCCUUCUCUCACUGAGUGACAAAGCCCUGCCCAAGGCAUGUAUAGACUCAGCCUGCCCUCUUUCUUCCCACCACCUUCCAGGGUUGUGAAGACCCCAGAGAAGCCACUGGGUGAGAGGGGAUAGGACACUUUUUUCACCUCUCUAGGUGGGAAAUGAAGGCAUCCUCAGGUCAGUGGUCCUGAACUGGGGUUCACAGGUCCUUAGGGGUAUGGAAGGCAUCCUCAGGUCAGCGGUCCUCACACUGGGGUUCACAGGUCCCAAGGAGAGCACACCAAAUAGUUUUAAGGGAAUAAGUGUCCAGAGUUUCCCUGGGCCAAAAGUGACCAUCAGGAGACGGCCCCUGGGAGCAAGGUCUUAUCCCCUUCCACCUCCCCUGCUCCUAACUCUUCAGAACAAAAGUGCACCACUCACCCACCAGGAUGGUGAAAUGGAAACCACUCCACCCCAUGGUACAUUGCUUCAGGGCAUAAAAAUCUUCCAGGAGCCCAGCAAAGAGACCACUGGAAUUAUUGUUGGUGUCCCCACAAAGAGAAUAAAGACCAAGUGACAAGAAAACAUCGAACGGUUUCUAAUUCGCUAAUUCGAAUACGAUUUGAGAACCUAAUCAAACUUUAGUUAAUUGAAAAAAAAUUGCUAACGGGGACUUCCCUGGUGGUACAGUGGUUAAGAAUCCGCCUGCCAAU